This 1667-nucleotide long non-coding RNA is filed under the name Malus domestica (apple). Its description in RNAcentral is "long non-coding RNA (MDOM_LNC004600)". The record is from RNAcentral. Lineage: Eukaryota; Viridiplantae; Streptophyta; Magnoliopsida; Rosales; Rosaceae.
UUGCAGCAUCAAUGGUGAAGCUUGGUAAUGUUGGAGUACUGACUGGGAAAAACGGGCAAAUAAGGAAGAAAUGCGGAUCUGUGAACUAAAAAUAAUGGUUCAGUUCUCUCUAUGAAAGCAUAGUAUUCUAGUCAUGGACUUGUUAGUAAUGGAACCAUAAACGAACGAAUAAUUAGUUUAGUGUCCAGGUAUUUAUCUCACUCUAGCAAUUGAGGGGAGAACCAAAUGUAGCAUAUUCUAAUAUUAAUGAAUAUAAGCACUAACUAAUUAAUUUUCAGCAUGAUACGUGAAGGGUAACAUUGUUUUUGGAAAAUAUCUAGAAUAUUAUAUUGUCAUGCAAACUGUUAAUCUGAAUCAAAAAUCUAACAAAGAUUUAUUUUAUCAACGGUUUAGUUUGACAGUUAAUCAACAAUAUGCAGUAUUUUACAACAAGGUGAUUGUAUAGACUAGAAGUAGAAAUCCUAUAGGAUCUAGAAGAUUUUUUUCCUUGUAUAACUUGUAUUACUUGGAGGGCAAGUAAAGCCCAACAUCAUUAGUAUAGAUAAAAACACUAGGGAUGAAGAAUAAUACACAAAAUUCCUCUCCCUCAAAUUUUAGUUUUACAACACGUGUUGUAGACCAAUUUUAGAGAGAGAAGGGAGAAAAGCUUGAGGAAUUAUGUGAUGAUACUCCUUAUGCCUUGUACCUUUAUUUAAACUAAAAAUGGGUUUUAUGUUUAAUAAGAGAUUAUUUUCAAGUACAUGAAUAAUGAAACAAACAAAAAAAAUACAAUUUUUUUAUAUCUGUUAUAAAUAUUAUAUUAAAGUGUGAUUAUGUAAAUCCUAAAUAUAUUUUUUGUUAUGAGUUAUUCAUUCCCUACUAGGAUUGUAUUUACUGGUAGGACAAGUAAUUCAUCUCCUCUUUACUACUAUAUAAAUAAGGGCAUUGUGUAGUGGGUAUAACAACAUCUCAUACACAUAGAGAAAUCCCUACACCUUCUCCACUCUCCCUCUUGCUGCACCCUGUCUCUCUCCUUGUUAGUUAAAUAGGCCAUAAUACAUAUCAACACACUCUUCCGCUGCACUAAAGAAUUUGACAUGGAAUUUUCUACCACAAACCAGUUCAUCAAUAUUAUCACACAAUCAAAUUCUUUUAAAACAACAGUUUUUAUUUCGAUAUUUUUGCAAUCAUGAUAUCAUAAACAUUCACUAUAAUGCAUGACCUAACUUUACGUUUACGAAUUUUAGAUUCUACAUAAAUUGUACAUGCAUUAUAGCCAUAAUUGUUGGAUUAUGUGAAUUGAUAUUGAUUAUGCAUGCAAGUGAAUUGAAAAAAAAUAAUAAUUAAGGUUUUGAAAACCUAACCCGUGCAACGGCUUCGAGUCGCGCAGCUGACCUCCGAUCCUAAGCUGGAGCCAGAAGCUCCAGGCAUAGAACCUAGAACCCACGACCUCGUCUACCCCCAAAAACCUAACGCCAUCAUCGACGUCGCCACUGACAAAUUGACGCAUGCAUGGCUUGCAGCCAUGCACAGCCACCACGGCUGCGUUCCCCGACGACCAGAAGUUGUCCCUGUCAUGAUCUUGGCCGAGAUUCAUACGAAUUUCAUCGUAUUUCGAGCACACCCAGCAGUAGCUAGGGUGUUUUUGGUCCAUCCACGACCCCUGUCGGCCUGGUUUUGCCUCAGCC